Molecule: long non-coding RNA, 1337 nt
Organism: Cynoglossus semilaevis (tongue sole)
Lineage: Eukaryota; Metazoa; Chordata; Actinopteri; Pleuronectiformes; Cynoglossidae
Exons: 2
Source: RefSeq, a predicted model, not a curated record
UAUCUUGAAGCCUCACUGUAUAUGAAUAUUUCCCUUUGUAAUAAAAAUUGCAACCGGGUGGCCUCCUCUAUCUCCUUAAUAUGGUCUCAAAUUUCAAAGGAAUAUCUUUUCAUCUAUCUUCAAUAAUGGGGAAGAAAGGAGUUCACUCCUCUUAACGCUCCCUGGUCGAAGCAAACAGAGUUUUUUCAUGACAAGCUCAAGGCAUUUACUGUAUAUUUCUACUGAAAGUGCUGCAAAAAAUAAAUAAAAUGUUUAGCUAUCAUUCAUUUUGUGUUUCCUUUCAAUUCUAGUGGAGGAGACUUUUUCUUUGCUGCAGCUGCAAGUUCUGAUGAAGGCUGAUCAAGUGUGAUGGCAGAAUGUACCUGUGGUGUCAUAUCCCACGAUGAGAACAGCAUGGUUGGAGUGCUGGCUGGAACAGUGAUGCUGAAUGAUUCCUCCCUGAUAAUCCUGCCAGCUGACAGCAUCCACGAUAGCAGCCAGAGGACCACACUCUAGCAGCUGACCCAUCAUCGCGGCCUCCUGGCCACUGAGCAACAGUAAAAACAAAGUUUAUCAUACAUAUUUUUGAGGGACAUGCCAUGUCAUUUAAACUGUAGCAGGUUAAAAUCCCUGACUAUUAAUGAGAUGUCAAAACUGUUUUGGUUUUGAAAAGCUGCACUUACAUGUUCUUAUUUUUCCAAAGGACUUUAGUUUCAUGAACAACAUUGUUGCUUUCAUUUAUUGGAUCAUUAAAUUAUUAUUGUGCCAGACUUACAGGACAUAUAUGGACCACAGAAGGUCACUGUAAACUUGGUGUCUUGUUAAACCUUGCGAAACUAUCAUGUCCUGAACUGUUUUCCCAGUUAAAUAUAUUUAUCUGAACUUUAAACCUUUGAGUCUGACAUGUGUCAUGCAACAACAGCCUGGUGAACUCUAUGACCCAGCUCUGUGACAUCGUCUCAGUAGUUUCACAUUAUAUCGACAGUCAAGUCAGUUAAUUAUGACUCAGUCGCAACAAUGAAAACUUCUACUAAGUUACAUGUCAUUUCCAAAAAAAAACAUUAUAUUGAUGAUAAUUAUUUAAAUAAUUUCAUUAAUUCCUGUUAUCUAUUUGAAUAUGGACAUAGACACAAUAUAAUACAGUUUUUCUUUUAAUUAUUGAGCAAAAAUACUUUUCCAGGGAAAAAUUGCCUUUUUCCCUACUAUUUUAAUCACUUUAGGAGUUUUUGCUUAACCUGUAAAAGUAUUUUUAACCUACUUUUGACUACUUUAUUGCUGACAGAUUUGUUUUACUGAGCCCUCACUGUUGUUAAUGUGAAACUUAUAAACUUUCCACAUUAAAAUUGUGUUUAAAGAUA